UGCUUCUCCAUCCACUCAGGGCCCUCGGGUCUUGGAGGUGAGCCAGGCCUGUGGUCAGAGGCAGCCCAUGCCACCUUCUGCCUCAGCUCACAUUGCCUGCACAGCUUGCCCUGACUUCUAUUCCUGACUUCAAGUCCUUGGCCUUCAGCACAAUCUGUCAAGAUUAACUUGACACCAAACUGGCUCUCUCUAGAACAUGCCUGGAAACCGGCUUCCUCUAGACACAAGAGCAAGAACAGUGCCUUCCUAGGAGCCUCUUUGGGGAGGGAAGAUGAGCUUCUGACACCUCCUACCUUGGGACAAAAUGCACUAUUUCCUGCUCUUCAUUUACAUCUGCAGUUGAUCUUGGAAUUGGUCACAGUACUCUGUGUGGCCAGUACACUGAGUGCAAUUUCAGGCUCAAGAAUGAAACAAUAGGUUGCUCUGUUUUCCCAAAGUUCUUGGGAGUCCUCAAGCCUCGUCCCCACCACAUCCUCCCAGAGCAUCUUU
Long non-coding RNA from Pipistrellus kuhlii (Kuhl's pipistrelle), 489 nucleotides. RefSeq lists it as uncharacterized. The transcript is spliced from 3 exons. Lineage: Eukaryota; Metazoa; Chordata; Mammalia; Chiroptera; Vespertilionidae. The record is from RefSeq and is a predicted model, not a curated record.